GUGGCUGUAGUUCAACGGUAGAGCACAGGAUUGUGGCUCCUGGUGUUGCGGGUUCGAGUCCCGUCAGCCACC
This 72-nucleotide transfer RNA is filed under the name Desulfurispirillum indicum S5. It matches the Rfam family "tRNA". From Rfam's summary of the family: Transfer RNA (tRNA) molecules are approximately 80 nucleotides in length. Their secondary structure includes four short double-helical elements and three loops (D, anti-codon, and T loops). The record is from Rfam by way of RNAcentral. Lineage: Bacteria; Pseudomonadati; Chrysiogenota; Chrysiogenia; Chrysiogenales; Chrysiogenaceae.